This 638-nucleotide long non-coding RNA is filed under the name Struthio camelus australis. Its description in RNAcentral is "lncRNA (ENSSCUG00000001050.1)". The record is from RNAcentral. Lineage: Eukaryota; Metazoa; Chordata; Aves; Struthioniformes; Struthionidae.
GUAUUUUGCUGAUAAUCCUUCUACAAUUAGGCAGGCCAGAGCUAAAUAAUUUAUCCUGUAAGUGAGCUGCAUUACUGGAAGCCACAGCUUGGUGAUGAGAAAAUGCUGGGGUAGUACAGAGAAGUGGCAGUUUCAGGGAGCCGAUAUCUGCCACUGAACACCAGAGGGCACAAAGUCUCUAGCAGUCGUCUCGUCUUCUGGCUUUGUGAAUGCCAGCAGCGUUUAAACAAACCUGUUACAGCGACGCUUUGAAAAGCAAACACAAAACUUCACUGGAAUAGCAAAGGGAAAGUAAACGUGCUAACAGUUUUAAAAUGGAGAGGAAAAGAGUAUCACUUGCAGGACGUGUACAUUUGUGAUAUGUCAGCUUGAACACUGAAUACAAUGAGUAUCGUAUGGAUGUACAUAGUGCCCUGGCCGUAUUCCAGCUCUGUCCCAGCCAUCCAGGAGGAGCUCUCCCUGCCGUCCCGAGUUACUGGAGAGGUGUUGAGCUCCCUCGCUGGCCUUGUGGAGCUGCCUCCGUACUGUUUCAGGUUAGCACAGUGAGGUUUGCAAAUACUUCAGUUAGGUUUUCAAAGCUGCUCCUUUUUAUCACUUUAAGAAUCAGACUCCUGCUAUUUCAUAUACUUGUUAGUUAA